Molecule: small nuclear RNA, 111 nt
Organism: Echinops telfairi (small Madagascar hedgehog)
Lineage: Eukaryota; Metazoa; Chordata; Mammalia; Afrosoricida; Tenrecidae
Source: Ensembl
AUGCUUGCUUUGGAAACACAUGUACUAAAAUUCUCUGUAAUGAUACUGAUAAAAUUAGCAUGGCCCCUGGGUAAGGAUGAAAUACAAAUUCGUGUAGCGUUCCAUAUUAAA